RNAcentral lists this ribosomal RNA (447 nucleotides) under uncultured bacterium. RNAcentral's name for it is "bacterial SSU rRNA". It matches the Rfam family "Bacterial small subunit ribosomal RNA", at positions 329 to 794 of the family's 1533-position model. The record is from RNAcentral.
GUCCAGACUCCUACGGGAGGCAGCAGUGGGGAAUAUUGCACAAUGGGGGAAACCCUGAUGCAGCGACGCCGCGUGAGUGAAGAAGUAUUUCGGUAUGUAAAGCUCUAUCAGCAGGGAAGAAAAUGACGGUACCUGACUAAGAAGCCCCGGCUAACUACGUGCCAGCAGCCGCGGUAAUACGUAGGGGGCAAGCGUUAUCCGGAUUUACUGGGUGUAAAGGGAGCGUAGACGGCAUGGCAAGUCAGAUGUGAAAGCCCGGGGCUCAACCCCGGGACUGCAUUUGAAACUGUCAGGCUGGAGUGCAGGAGAGGUAAGUGGAAUUCCUAGUGUAGCGGUGAAAUGCGUAUAUAUUAGGAGGAACACCAGUGGCGAAGGCGGCUUACUGGACUGUAACUGACGUUGAGGCUCGAACGCGUGGGGAGCAAACAGGAUUAGAUACCCUGGUGC